RNAcentral lists this ribosomal RNA (484 nucleotides) under uncultured bacterium. RNAcentral's name for it is "partial 16S ribosomal RNA". It matches the Rfam family "Bacterial small subunit ribosomal RNA", at positions 28 to 523 of the family's 1533-position model. The record is from RNAcentral.
GACGAACGCUGGCGGCGUGCUUAACACAUGCAAGUCGAACGGAAAGGCCUUGCUUUUGUGGGGUGCUCGAGUGGCGGACGGGUGAGUAACACGUGAGUAACCUGCCCUUGACUUUGGGAUAACUUCAGGAAACUGGGGCUAAUACCGGAUAGGAGCUCCUGCUGCAUGGUGGGGGGUGGAAAGUUUCGGCGGUUGGGGAUGGACUCGCGGCUUAUCAGCUUGUUGGUGGGGUAGUGGCUUAUGAAGGCUUUGACGGGUAGCCGGCCUGAGAGGGUGACCGGCCACAUUGGGACUGAGAUACGGCCCAGACUCCUACGGGAGGCAGCAGUGGGGAAUAUUGCACAAUGGGCGGAAGCCUGAUGCAGCAACGCCGCGUGCGGGAUGACGGCCUUCGGGUUGUAAACCGCUUUCGCCUGUGACGAAGCGUGAGUGGCGGUAAUGGGUAAAGAAGCACCGGCUAACUACGUGCCAGCAGCCGCAGUAA